Hemicordylus capensis (graceful crag lizard) is the source of this 712-nucleotide long non-coding RNA. RefSeq lists it as uncharacterized. The record is from RefSeq and is a predicted model, not a curated record. The transcript has 2 exons. Lineage: Eukaryota; Metazoa; Chordata; Lepidosauria; Squamata; Cordylidae.
GAUUGCAGAGGAGAGGAAUCUAUAUAUAUAAAAGGAUAGCAGGCAGGGGUCUGCAAAAAGACGGGUCACGAGGGAGGAAAGAACCCCUUCAGGAGAAAGAGGAUGCCGUUUUGUGAAUUAAAUGAGGAAACAAGAUAAACAAAAUCUGUUAACUUAGCUGUCCCACUGUCGAAUUGGCAGGAGCAGCAAGAGCUGAAGCCAACACGAGCAAAAUUAGCAAACCUGAAGUGAAAUGAAGAAUGGCAAAGUGAAAUGAGCAUGCUCUUUGACAAGAUGACAGCUAAUUACCCUGUCUCAGCAGUAACUGAAGCAGGCAGAACCUAAGAACAACUACAGAAAAGGAUGAAAUGCAGCUUAAAAACAGCUCUUUUGGGGUGCGGAUGAGGGGAAAACAUACAGCUUUUAAAGACAGUUAGUAAUCGGCCUGAGCAGCAAAGAUGGCCAAAUGGUGGGAACACAGAUGUACCCUUGUCUCCUUUGAACCCUACAUGAUCAUUUCUGGGCACAUGCUUGUGUUGUUCACAUGGGUGCCUCUGCAGCAUGGAAUUGCACCAUCCUGAAAUGGCUUCCACGCAUCCGGGCCUGCAUAUGAAGUGUGCCUUGUGUUUAUAACAAGCUAAAUGCUGAGCCAUACAUGCAAAACCCCCACAAUGCUACAUGUAUCGUGUGACCCAAACUGAGCUGUCAUAAGCAGUAAAUAAUAAGAGAAUGC